RNAcentral lists this ribosomal RNA (512 nucleotides) under uncultured bacterium. RNAcentral's name for it is "partial 16S ribosomal RNA". It matches the Rfam family "Bacterial small subunit ribosomal RNA", at positions 28 to 507 of the family's 1533-position model. The record is from RNAcentral.
GAUGAACGCUGGCGGCGUGCCUAAUACAUGCAAGUCGAACGAAACUUCUUUAUCACCGAGUGCUUGCACUCACCGAUAAAGAGUUGAGUGGCGAACGGGUGAGUAACACGUGGGCAACCUGCCCAAAAGAGGGGGAUAACACUUGGAAACAGGUGCUAAUACCGCAUAACCAUAGUUACCGCAUGGUAACUAUGUAAAAGGUGGCUAUACUACCGCUUUUGGAUGGGCCCGCGGCGCAUUAGCUAGUUGGUAGGGUAAAGGCUUACCAAGGCAAUGAUGCGUAGCCGAAUUGAGAGGUUGAUCGGCCACAUUGGAACUGAGACACGGCCCAAACUCCUACGGGAGGCAGCAGUAGGGAAUCUUCCACAAUGGGCGAAAGCCUGAUGGAGCAACGCCGCGUGGGUGAAGAAGGUCUUCGGAUCGUAAAGCCCUGUUGUUAGAGAAGAAAGUGCGUGAGAGUAACUGUUCACGUUUCGACGGUAUCUAACCAGAAAGCCACGGCUAACUACGUG